This is an RNA transcript of Triticum dicoccoides, 1592 nucleotides long. It is a transcript of the gene named tubulin-folding cofactor B-like, with no coding region annotated. The record is from RefSeq and is a predicted model, not a curated record. The transcript has 7 exons. Lineage: Eukaryota; Viridiplantae; Streptophyta; Magnoliopsida; Poales; Poaceae.
GAGCCCCUCGCUCCUCUUUGUGCCACUGGUGCGGGCGUGGAGGCGAGCUUCUCCGGCGGCGGCUGCGACCUGCAGGAAAAGUACGACCGCGACAGGGCUCGAUUCAAUCUGUAGGAGAGAGAGAAGAUGAGAGGGAGAGAGAGAAGGAAGGAGAGGAGGAAGAAAGAGAGAGGAAAGAGGAGAGGGAGGUGUGGCGACAGACGGGAGAGCGUCACAGGAAGGAGCGCCGCUGGCUCGUCGUCGUGCACACCACACUGUAGUAGAGGCGCCCCUGUACAUCCCUCACGCCCGCAGGUUGCUGUGGAAGAAGACGGGCAUGGCCGUGGGCUCCAUGCGGCUCGAGCUCCGCGACGGCCAGCGCCAUGGUUGCUGACCUCGACUGCGACGCCGCGCCCCUUGCCGCCUACUCCCCCUACGACGGGUACCGGCUGCACGUCAUCAACCUUGACCCCUCGUCGGUGACCUCCGGUGGGUGGCUGGAGGGCACCUCGCUCGUUGAGAAGUACACCAUAUCGGACGAUGCAUACGACGAGCUCGGCACAAACAUCCGGAAGUUCAAAGAGAAGAUGGUGUCGAAAAACCCUGUAUCGGAUGAUAAGCAAUCAGACAAUCAGAUGGAGGAAUUGUGUGCUAACAUCAAGGACAGUUCAUUUGCUUUACACAUGUUUAUCAGAUUGAGUUUUUCCAUAUGAAGUGGGAUAUUGCCAACUAGCCUGCUGAUGUUAGCAAGAUUUAAUAGUUUAGCUUGUUAAGUAUUGAUGAUGUAGCACCGCUGGUCGAGCUACUGUUUCCCCUAUAUUUAGCGUCUGGGUUUGGGAUCAGAUUCUUGCGAGGACAGCAACAGCAGCCGGCCAGCGUUUGUAUUCGCAGAGUUCAUGAACGCGCUUCUUCUGUAACUUAAUAAGAUGUUUUUUGACACUGUAUUCGCAGAGUUCAUGAACGCUGCAGUGGGGUUUCCAGCGCAGCGACAACAUGACGACUAAGUUCAACAGCCUCAUAUCACACUGCAUCAGAAGUUAGCCGCGUAAUAUGGUCGCCGGAUGGAAGUACAAGUUCGCACUUACAAAAGUAAAGUACAUUUUUAGCGCCACUGUUGUUUCUUGCUUCACUAUGUUGUUCCAGGCGGUUCUUGAUGGUACGUGCUCUUGUCUGAUUUGUAAAAGUGAUGUUUGAAAGAGCAAAUGGUUUUGGUUUUGUUAUUACAAGCAAAACAAACAAUAAGAAGUAUAUUAUUUGAUUAUUGAGUCAAUGCAUUUGCCAUACAUUUGUAGGUAUUUUCUUGCAUCCUCUCUUUUCUCCAGGAAUGUUGUGUAGUUUAUUGAUGCGCCUACAUAAGCCUUUAGGUCACUGUUUAUCUUCAUACAUGUGUUCCUUGUUCACCUUUCUAUCUACUAUAGAAUAGCUGCUGACUGGGAAUAAUACUUAACAGGGUAGCAACAUGAAUGUUUAUGUUUCCUGUACUGUUGUUUGUGAUUGAGUUAGAACAUGUAUGUCCUCAUAUUCUCGCGUUGCUGUCUAAAAACUGUUUACAUGGAAAUAACUGAAGAGCAGUGGUUUUAUUUCCCUGUAUGUGUGUGUGUGUGUGUGUGUGU